UGGGGAAUCUUGCACAAUGGGCGAAAGCCUGAUGCAGUAACGCCGCGUGCGGGAAGACAGCCCUAGGGUUGUAAACCGCUUUCAGCAGGGAAGAAACUGACGGUACCUGCAGAAGAAGAUGCGGCCAACUACGUGCCAGCAGCCGCGGUGACACGUAGGCAUCAAGCGUUAUCCGGAUUUAUUGGGCGUAAAGAGCUCGUAGGCGGUUCGGUAAGUCGGGUGUGAAAACUCUGGGCUCAACCCAGAGAGGCCACUCGAUACUGCUGUGACUAGAGUGCGGUAGGGGAGCGGGGAAUUCCUGGUGUAGCGGUGAAAUGCGCAGAUAUCAGGAGGAACACCAGUGGCGAAGGCGCCGCUCUGGGCCGUAACUGACGCUGAGGAGCGAAAGCAUGGGUAGCAAACAGGAUUAGAUACCCUGGUAGUCCACGCCGUAAACGAUGAGUGCUAGUCGUCGGCAGGCAUGCCUGUCGGUGACGCAGCUAACGCAUUAAGCACUCCG
This 499-nucleotide ribosomal RNA is filed under the name uncultured bacterium. RNAcentral's name for it is "bacterial SSU rRNA". It matches the Rfam family "Bacterial small subunit ribosomal RNA", at positions 355 to 871 of the family's 1533-position model. The record is from RNAcentral.